This 74-nucleotide small RNA is filed under the name Enterobacter hormaechei. RNAcentral describes it as "PyrD leader". It matches the Rfam family "PyrD leader". The record is from RNAcentral. Lineage: Bacteria; Pseudomonadati; Pseudomonadota; Gammaproteobacteria; Enterobacterales; Enterobacteriaceae.
AUUCCCUUUCCGGGCGGAAUCGCACAUAAUCUCCUCCCGGUUUGCACACCGGGAAUCCAGGAGAGUUCAUGUAC